RNAcentral lists this ribosomal RNA (492 nucleotides) under uncultured bacterium. RNAcentral describes it as "partial 16S ribosomal RNA". It matches the Rfam family "Bacterial small subunit ribosomal RNA", at positions 29 to 507 of the family's 1533-position model. The record is from RNAcentral.
AGUGAACGCUGGCGGUAGGCCUAACACAUGCAAGUCGAACGGCAGCACAGUAAGAGCUUGCUCUUACGGGUGGCGAGUGGCGGACGGGUGAGGAAUACAUCGGAAUCUACUUUUUCGUGGGGGAUAACGUAGGGAAACUUACGCUACUACCGCAUACGACCUACGGGUGAAAGCAGUGGAUCUUCGGACCUUGCGCGAUUGAAUGAGCCGAUGUCGGAUUAGCUAGUUGGCGGGGUAAAGGCCCACCAAGGCGACGAUCCGUAGCUGGUCUGAGAGGAAGAUCAGCCACACUGGAACUGAGACACGGUCCAGACUCCUACGGGAGGCAGCAGUGGGGAAUAUUGGACAAUGGGCGCAAGCCUGAUCCAGCCAUACCGCGUGGGUGAAGAAGGCCUUCGGGUUGUAAAGCCCUUUUGUUGGGAAAGAAAAGCAGCAGGUUAAUACCCCGCUGUUCUGACGGUACCCAAAGAAUAAGCACCGGCUAACUUCGUG